Long non-coding RNA from Amblyraja radiata (thorny skate), 132 nucleotides. RefSeq lists it as uncharacterized. The transcript is spliced from 3 exons. NCBI's taxonomy places the organism in Eukaryota, Metazoa, Chordata, Chondrichthyes, Rajiformes, Rajidae. The record is from RefSeq and is a predicted model, not a curated record.
GUAACGACGGUAAAGGAAACGGGCCAUUGUUAGCUGUGUGCUAGGUGAAAACGAGUUACAGACAAUGAGACACAACAAGACGACGUUGAAACCAGUACAACGACUUGGAUGGGGGAUGGAAAGAGAAGGCAC